Molecule: ribosomal RNA, 301 nt
Filed under: uncultured bacterium
Lineage: Bacteria
Description: partial 16S ribosomal RNA
Rfam family: Bacterial small subunit ribosomal RNA
Source: RNAcentral
CAGUCGCCACGGUAAUACGUAGGGGGCGAGCGUUGUCCGAAGUUGCUGGGCGUAAAGCGCGCGUAGGCGGCUUCUUAAGUCUGAGGUGAAAGGUUCAACGCUUAACGUGAACAGUGCCUUGGAUACUGGGGAGCUUGAGUAUGGGAGAGGGCAGUGGAAUGGCUGGAGUAGCGGUGAAAUGCGUAGAGAUGUGGAGGAACACCAGUGGCGAAGGCGACUCUCUGGUCUGUAACUGACGCUGAGGAGCGAAAGCGGGGGGAGCGAACAGGAUUAGAUACCCCCGUAGUCCCUGUCUCUUAUA